UAAGCGGAGGAAAAGAAACUAACAAGGAUUCCCCUAGUAACUGCGAGUGAAGCGGGAAAAGCUCAAAUUUAAAAUCUGGCGGUCUUUGGCCGUCCGAGUUGUAGUCUGGAGAAGUGCUUUCCGCGCUGGACCGUGUACAAGUCUCUUGGAACAGAGCGUCAUAGAGGGUGAGAAUCCCGUCUUUGACACGGACUACCAGUGCUUUGUGAUGCGCUCUCAAAGAGUCGAGUUGUUUGGGAAUGCAGCUCAAAAUGGGUGGUGAAUUCCAUCUAAAGCUAAAUAUUGGCGAGAGACCGAUAGCGAACAAGUACCGUGAGGGAAAGAUGAAAAGCACUUUGGAAAGAGAGUUAAACAGUACGUGAAAUUGCUGAAAGGGAAACGCUUGAAGUCAGUCGCGUUGUCCAGAACUCAGCCUUGCUUCGGCUUGGUGCAUUUUCUGGGCGACGGGCCAGCAUCGAUUUUGACCGUCGGAAAAGGGUUGAAGGAAUGUGGCACCUUCGGGUGUGUUAUAGCCUUCAGCCGCAUACGACGGUUGGGAUCGAGGAACGCAGCGCGCCUUAUGGCUGGGGUUCGCCCACAUUCGCGCUUAGGAUGCUGGCAUAAUGGCUUUAAACGACCCGUCUUGAAACACGGACCAAGGAGUCUAACAUGCCUGCGAGUGUUUGGGUGGAAAACCCGAGCGCGUAAUGAAAGUGAAAGUUGAGACCUCUGUCGUGGAGGGCAUCGACGCCCGGACCUGACGUUCUCUGACGGAUCCGCGGUAGAGCAUGUAUGUUGGGACCCGAAAGAUGGUGAACUAUGCCUGAAUAGGGUGAAGCCAGAGGAAACUCUGGUGGAGGCUCGUAGCGAUUCUGACGUGCAAAUCGAUCGUCAAAUUUGGGUAUAGGGGGCGAAAGACUAAUCGAACCAUCUAGUAGCUGGUCC
RNAcentral lists this ribosomal RNA (924 nucleotides) under Lenzites sp. RNAcentral's name for it is "partial large subunit ribosomal RNA". It matches the Rfam family "Eukaryotic large subunit ribosomal RNA", at positions 47 to 957 of the family's 3401-position model. The record is from RNAcentral. Lineage: Eukaryota; Fungi; Basidiomycota; Agaricomycetes; Polyporales; Polyporaceae.